CCUGCUCCUAGAGAUGUCGCAGGUGUGGCUGCCUUCCGGUGUGCGUCAGUAGGUGGCAAGGAGGAGAGAGGCUAUGUUUAUACUAAGUGCUCUGACCUAUGAACACCUGAACAGUUAGUAGCCUAACAUU
This is a small nucleolar RNA of Rattus norvegicus (Norway rat), 130 nucleotides long. Ensembl annotates it as small nucleolar RNA SNORA17. Lineage: Eukaryota; Metazoa; Chordata; Mammalia; Rodentia; Muridae. The record is from Ensembl.